Molecule: non-coding RNA, 72 nt
Organism: Ictidomys tridecemlineatus (thirteen-lined ground squirrel)
Lineage: Eukaryota; Metazoa; Chordata; Mammalia; Rodentia; Sciuridae
Source: Rfam
GGGGUUGUGGCUCAGUGGUAGAGCACUUGCCUAGCAUGUAUGAGGCACUGGGUUCAAUUUUCAGCAUCACGU